Molecule: ribosomal RNA, 253 nt
Filed under: uncultured bacterium
Lineage: Bacteria
Description: partial 16S ribosomal RNA
Rfam family: Bacterial small subunit ribosomal RNA
Source: RNAcentral
UACGAAGGGGACUAGCGUUGUUCGGAAUCACUGGGCGUAAAGCGCACGUAGGCGGUUCGUUAUGUCGGAUGUGAAAGCCCUUGGCUUAACCGAGGAAGUGCAUCCGAAACUGGCGAGCUAGAGUACGAAAGAGGAUCGCGGAAUUCCCGGUGUAGAGGUGAAAUUCGUAGAUAUCGGGAGGAACACCGGUGGCGAAGGCGGCGAUCUGGGUCGAUACUGACGCUGAGGUGCGAAAGCGUGGGGAGCGAACAGG